UUUACUGGAUCUGCAAAGAUUAAUACCAAAUCAUGCACAUGAGCUCAUCAAAUUUAUUGACACAUCUCUGAGAUUGUGCAGAGAGUAUUUUUAUCUUAUAAGAGAUUCCAGUCACAACACACAGGAUUUACAACCUCAGCNAGAAUUAAUCAACAUAAAUGUUUUUGAACAUGACUUUUGACAAACUAGAAUGGAUGCUCAAAUUAAAAUACUCAACC
RNAcentral lists this long non-coding RNA (218 nucleotides) under Vigna radiata. RNAcentral describes it as "long non-coding RNA (VRAD_LNC009887)". The record is from RNAcentral. Lineage: Eukaryota; Viridiplantae; Streptophyta; Magnoliopsida; Fabales; Fabaceae.